RNAcentral lists this ribosomal RNA (254 nucleotides) under uncultured bacterium. Its description in RNAcentral is "partial 16S ribosomal RNA". It matches the Rfam family "Bacterial small subunit ribosomal RNA", at positions 524 to 776 of the family's 1533-position model. The record is from RNAcentral.
UACGGGGGGGGGCAAGCGUUGUUCGGAAUUACUGGGCGUAAAGGGUUCGUAGGUGGCUUGCUAAGUCAGACGUGAAAUCCCUCAGCUCAACUGGGGAACUGCGUCUGAGACUGGCGAGCUUGAGUGCAGGAGAGGAAUGCGGAAUUCCAGGUGUAGCGGUGAAAUGCGUAGAUAUCUGGAGGAACACCGGUGGCGAAGGCGGCGUUCUGGACUGCAACUGACACUGAGGAACGAAAGCCAGGGGAGCAAACGGG